Molecule: non-coding RNA, 571 nt
Organism: Drosophila virilis
Lineage: Eukaryota; Metazoa; Arthropoda; Insecta; Diptera; Drosophilidae
Source: RefSeq, a predicted model, not a curated record
AGUUGCAUAUGAUAAAAUUUGGUCAUAACUGAGCCUCUUAACUUGUUUGUACGACUGAAUUUGUCCACUUGUGUUCUUUGCUGUUAAAUCAAUUAUAUCAAGAAAGGGCUGUCUUUACUUGUCACGCUGAGAUCUCGUUUUUUGUGAUAAGAAAUGUUAAAUUGGAAAUGUGAAGGUAUUUGCUGUGAGUGCAACUCUUAAGUGAACCUGUCAACUUGUUUCUGUCAAGAUCAAUAUUGAGUCAAGCAGGCGAGCGUCAACUAGUUGUUUAAUUCUACAUAAAUAAAGACUGUCAAUUUGCCUGAAAUGCUAUCAGUUUGCGUAGAACCGUGUAUCUGUCAGUGUAUUCUUAAUGACUAAAGUGCUAAAAUUAUUAACGAAAAUUUAAUGACUAACAAAAAGAAUAUAAAUAAAUGAUGGAAGCACUAAAAUUGCUAUUAAGGAACUGAUACAAUUAUUAUUGUGGUGAAUAUAUGUGCCUCAAUCGAACUGUUUUAUAUACAAAAGACUUCAGCCGAGAAGAGCAAAGCAAGCGGCGAAGAGGAGACCGAAAUCCGAACCCAAACCCAAA